This is a long non-coding RNA of Carya illinoinensis, 3810 nucleotides long. RefSeq lists it as uncharacterized. Lineage: Eukaryota; Viridiplantae; Streptophyta; Magnoliopsida; Fagales; Juglandaceae. The record is from RefSeq and is a predicted model, not a curated record. The transcript has 2 exons.
UUCAAUGUUAUCUCAAACGCAAUUGAAAAAAAAAAAAAAAAAAAAAAAUGUAACCUUAAAAAGGUCACGCUGUGCCACUCUCUUAGCGAAGCAGAGAGAGAGACAUUCAGCAAUGGUGACCCUUCAGAUUCCUGGUUUUAACUCACUUACUCUUUCUCUCUCUCUCUACCUAAGUACAUGCUAUUUAGGAUGAUGCCAAAAGGACAAGUCAGCUCUAGCUGUUCUUUCUUUUUUUCUAUUUUUUUGUUCCUUCACUUAAUCUUUAUGGUUUGUUCAGAUUUGUGUUGUUUUACGCCAUUUACUCUUGUUGUUCUUGUCGGGUGUAUUUUUUCCUUUUUCUAUUUUGUGGUAUCAAAAUCCUUAUUGGGUUUUGUUUGUUGUAAAAAAAAAUGUAGGCGAAUAUUUGUAAUUUCGUUUACGUUUGUUUGUUUAUGUGGGAAUUUGGUAUGGUGGGAGUGAAGUCACUGGAGGCAGCGGUUCAUCGACCUCUUCUUGGGGAUUUUUUGUGACACUGCACAAAACAUGAAUCGGUCGAUAAACCUCUGCAUCCAGCGCUCAUCCUCUAUCUCUCUAGCAUUUAUUGACUUGUUUAGUCAUAUUCCCUGUUUGGUUGCUGAGAAAUUGUGGCAAAGCAAAUGAAGAAAAGUGGUAUUUUUUUGUACUUAUGGGAAAGAAGAAGAACGGCGUGGAGGGAGGGGAGGAGUUGUCUUCAUUGUACCUUCUCUCUGGUCUGUGUAUUACCAUUUCGUGGAAAUAGGAAGAUCGUGAAACAUUAGAGACUAGAAGAUUUUGAUCUCUCUGCAUUUUCUAGUUACCAAAUCAUCUGUUGAUUUCUGCUGUAUUUGAAGCAUGUCAUUGCAAUUUUAUUGGGAUGAUGAUUUUAUGAGAAGUUUUCCCAUUCGAAUUUAUUCGUAGAAUCGUAGAUGCCUUGAUUUUUAGUUUUAUUUUUUCUCUUUCUUUUCUCUUUCCUACUCUCAUGCUAGUUGGUGCUUGUUUUGUGUUGUCAUAUAUUAUUGAGUAAUCUGCAGGUUAUGAGAUGAAUGAAUUGUGCACGUCCACCAUCCGGCCGGUUUUGAGGAAUCUUGCCUUUCAAGAUGAGUGUGUUUUUAUGUACUAAUUUCCUACAAUAUGGUGGAAACAAACUAUUUUUUUUCCUAAUAAUGGUUGAUAUCAAGAUCAUCAUGAUGAAACUGCUUUUGACUUCAAGAUUGUUUUCUGAUGAUUACCGAGUGGAUGAAAUGAACACACACACACACAGAAAAGAACUUAGUUGCUGACUUCUAAUCUGGCAUUCAAUUGUAUCAAAUAGAACUAUUUGUAUCUUCGUUAACUCAUUUCACAGAAUCAAUGAAUUUCCAGGAAUUGUUAAUGCGUGUUUGUUUCAAUCGGCGCUUACCUUUUCGUUCUACAGCAAUGAUCAACUUUUUUUUUAGCUUGAUUCUAGUUUAAUGCUUAAUGGUAUGGAUGCUUGAUGUUCAUUUCACACAUAAUAUCUCAAAAAGUGUUCUUUGCUAUCAGUUUGCAGUGAAUUAUAUCUUCUUCUUUUUUCUUGGGCCUUGCCCCUUCUUUUUCUAAUAUAUUUCUUCUUACGUAUCAAAAAAAAAAUAUCUUCUUCUUUUUUCCCUUAUUUGUGCUGCUGCUGUUUAGUGGAUUGUGUUAAAUUUUAUUUAUGUUUAAUAGGUUUGUUCUCUUUCCAAUUACCACACUAAUAAUAUAUGUUUCUUCAUUAGCAAUAUACUUUACUGUUUGGAAUUAAUUACCUUUGAGGUCUUGAGUUCUUUUGUGGUUCUUCGAAGACAUUCAAAGAGUCCCAAAGGAGGUUCAGUCUCCGGCUCAGGAGCAGGAGAAAGGUUGUUCUUGGCUCAUAGCAAUUAGUGAAGAUGAAUGGAAAAUAAUCUAAUCUGCUAAUGUGAAAGAGGGUUAACAUGUACUUUGCUUACCAAAUUAGUUAGGCACAAUCUGAGUGGUUUGUAAUCUCUUCAGAAACAGCAUUACUGAGUGCAUUCUGUGGAUAAGAUGAUAUAAAUGUGAGGCUUAUUUUACAACUUUUGGAUGUUCUAACUUGAAUCAGAGUUCCCUUCUGGUUCAGCUAGGAGAUAGUAAGGCCAUCUGACACACUUUUAGAAACAGUAAAAACAACACAGGUGAAUAUUCACAGUUCGUAUUUAAUUGUCUUAUCUCAAGGCUUCAAUGAGAAUGAUUGGAAUCGAUUUUGUGCCUGCCAACUAGGUGUCAUUUUCUUGAGCAGGUGGCUGUAAAGUUAUAACCUUUUUCUUUCUCCGAUAAGGGGAAAAGUACACUUGAAAAGAAGUCCUGAAGUGGAGUGAGACGUGGGUAUGGUAAUUUGCUGUAUGAAAGUGAGGGAAAAGCACAGUUGAGUGCAAGUCGGCAGAGUAUGUUCUGGAUUAGAAUGCAAAUAAACAGAAGUCGAUGUUAUUCUACCAUACAAUCCAACGUUCCAAGUAUCAAGAUUCUACAGAAGUAGAGAGAGUUUUUAGGAACUGUCGGCAUCGGAAUGAGACGUGUGGGCGUCGGCAAGAGAUGGUCUGAGGUGGGCGUCGGCAGGAGACGGACUGAGAGUAUCUUCGAAGAGGGAGAAACAAUUUUGAAAGGGGGCUGUGUGAGCUUAUGAUUGUCUGUAGGUAUAUCUUGUAUUUGUUACGUGUAAUGUCUGAUAUGGCAUAUAGUUAGUGGUGGGCUGUUUCUAUACUAAAAGCAGCCGGAUUGGCUAGAAGCGUCUCUGUACAAUUAAAUAACAAAAUUAAGCUCAAGUGAUAAAAAUAAAAAAUAAAAAAUAAAAAACUUUAUAUUAACAAGACGAAAUUACUUAAGUCACAAAAAAAUUAUAUAAAGUAAAUUUAUAAAUUGAUGUGGUUAGAUAUGAUAUGUCAGAUUGUAAAAUUAUUUUUAUUAUAAUGUAAAUUUAUCAGUUUUUAUAAAAUUACAUCAUUUUGAAUUUAGUUUAUAUAAUUUUCUUAUAUAUGUUUAGAAAGUCGAAAAAGAGAUAAACAUAUUGUAUUGUUGUGGGCUCCAUGAGAGGCAAGGUUGCCUGUCGGUGCAUUUACACUCUAAUAUGUUUGAUAACAAAGGGAAAAAGAUUUUAAAACUGCAAGAACUGCAAAUUACCAUCCCAAGUAUUAGAAUAAUUCCAAGACAGUUGAGGAUCAUUGUUUAAUCAAUUUAUGAUGAGGAGAAAGUUGAAUUCAACAAUGAACUCUGGUGCACUUAGUUGAGAGCAUAAAAUUAUACUAAUUUUCAAAGCUGAAAAUUCUACAUGUGUUAGUACCUAAACCUGAAUAGCAGGUCGAGCAAUAAAGGAGCAAAUAGAAGAACAAAAGAUGCUCACACAACCAUUUGGCCCAAGAUUAUAUUUGGAAGCACCACCAACUUUUUAAGUUCCAUGUAACAAUUGUUGGGCGUUCCAUGCCCAUGCAGCUAGCCAUCUAGUGAACUUAAGUGUCCCAAUAGAUUAGCUGCUGAAGUUUGGUCAAGAGUUGCAGCUUCCAUUGUCCAUAGUUUGUCAGAGCUAGUUGGUGGUUAACAUUUGUUGCCAGAGCAUCCCAUUGUCAAGAUUUGUGCUCACUUAUUCUUUGAAGUCUUCCCUAUAAAAGAAGGUUAUUUGUAAUGCAAUGAGCAGUGAGAUAAAACAUUAAGAAGAGUGAGAGAAUAGAAAGAGAGAGAGUCGAGAUGAGCUCUGAGUAAAUAGAGAGUUGAGUUAAGUGGAGUGUGAUCCUCUCUAAUAUGUAAUAUUUUCUGUAUUUCACUAUUUAUUAGUGAAGUUCUUUUAUGUAGAUGUAGACAAUUAUUGAA